GCCUAUUUACCCUUAACUCAAUAUCCUCAAAAUAAUGGGAACAAAAAGUUAGAGCUUCUUCAACCAUGUAACUUCAGCUAUGGAACCUUCAGCCCGCGACUUGUUCCCCACAAAAGAAUUGAAAUGACCUAUCAUUCUAACAAAAGAUAGAAUAACAUUAGAACAAGCAUUUACUUUUAAUCACUAUUAAAAGAUCAAUUUAAAGAGUUUGUAAAUAAUAAAUUUUUUAUCUUUCAACAAAAUACAUCCAACGAUAAUGUAUCGGACCACCAUGUAUUACUUGAUCCACUAGAUGGACAACUAAAUAAACCAUUACAGGGAAAAGAGAUUGAGGGAAUAGCAUCUCCAAAUGGCAAAUUGUAAGAACAAUCCUCUCUGGUAGCUUAUCCAAGUUUGAGAAGCUUAAGGUUUUCAUACAGAGAAGUCUAAAGAAGGACGAAAGCUCUACCAAAACUGCAACAACAUGAUUUGGAAUCACAUUGCUAAUUGCUACAGGUAAUAAUUGUUCCAUAAUGAUGUGACAAUCAUGACUUUUUAAUCCGAAUAUUCUCUUCUGUUCCAGAUCAAUACAAGAGAAAUAUUACUUGAAUAACCAUUUGGCACUAAGAUAUCCUUAAGAGUUUUGAGAAAGAUAGCUCUUUUUUGGUGGGGAUUGUAAAUGCAGCAAGUCGACAUUUUUCAUUCUCAUCAGGCCAAAGAUCAGGUCUUAUAUCCAUAUCUUGUAGGUUUUUUCGAGCUUUUACAUGAUCUUUUGAUUUUCCUAUUUCAUUUAUCAUUGAGUACAAAACAUUUUCAAACACAUUCUUUUCAAUGUGCAUAACAUCCAAAUUAUUGGACAACGGGUUGAAUCCCCAAUAUGGAAGCUUGAAGAAUAUGUUUUUCUUUUUCCAUUGUUGAGUUGAAUUUUUCCCAUGACUUCUUUCUCUUUUUCUUUUCCUUUUAUCAUUCAAUUUCACUAGUUUUCCAAAUGUAAUAUCAAUAUCUCUCACUUGUUGUACAAUAUCUGACCCACAUAACUUUUUUGAUGGAUUCCUCUCCUCCACAUCUCUAAAAAAAAUGAUGCCUCAUCAAUCUAAAUUUAUGAUUUCUUAUCAAAAAUCGAUGAUGACCAAUAAAAUACCAUUUUCUACUAUGUCAAAGUCGACAAGGUUCGGCGUCAAAAUUACAAGAAGGACAGGCUAAACCAGUAUGCAUGCUCCACUAGAUAAAAUAUCAAGUUCAGGAAAGUCACUUACUGUCCACAUAAGAGCUUCCCUCAUUCUAAACAUUUCAUUCUUUGAUGAAUCAAAUAUUUCCAGACCUUCAUACCAUAAUUCAUUCAACUCCUUGAUAGGGGAUACAGAUAUCCAUCUAUGUUAUUACCGACUGUACGCGGACCUGAAAUGAUCAUUGAGAGGAUGAAAUUUGACUGCUUCAUACACAACCAAGGGGGAAGGUUAUAUGGAACCAAAAUGACUGGUCAAAUGCUAUAAGAAGUACUCAUCGUCCCAAAUGGAUUGAAACCAUCACUAACUAGGCCUAAUCAAACAUUUUGAAAAUCAGAAGCAAAUUCAGGAAAGUUCUAUCGAAUCUUUUCCAUGCCUUACCAUCUCUAGGAUGCCUCAAAAUUCCAUUAUUUUUAACAUCCUCGCCAUACCAUCUCAUGUGCUCAGCAAUCUUGGAGCACAUGAACAAUCUUUGUAACCUUGAUUUUAAUGGAAAGUAACGCAAAAUUUUUGUAGAUUUCUUCUUUUGCUUCUUACUUAUACCAGGUGCAUGAUCUUUAUCAUUCUACUUUGUAGGUUUCCAUCUAGAAGUUGACAAUGUUUGCAUCUUUCAUCAUUAGCAUCAUCUCCCCAAUAUAACAUGCAGUCAUUUGGGCAGGCAUCUAUCUUUAUAUAAUCAAGACACAAUUUCUUAAUGGUUUUCUUGGCAUCAUAAAAAUAAAUAGGGAGCUUUACAAAAUGAAAUGCAUCUCUCAGUAGAUGUAGGAUCAUUGCCAUUCCCUUGUCACUUAAUCCACCAAAACACUUAAUAUGAUACAAUUUCAACAAAAAUUCUAACUUAGAGUACUUAGAUCCGUCAUAUAAUUCUUGACUUCCAUCUCUAAGCAACUCAAGAAAGUCUGUGUUAUUCGAAGAAGGCAUGUCAUUUGACAUUCCUUCUUUUCCCGCUACUUGUAAAGGACCUGCUUCCAUCCCCUCAUGCCUUAAGCCCUAAAAUGUUUCAUUAAUAAAUAAUUCUACGGGAUUGUUAGGAGGCAGUAUAUCUUGAGUAACCUCUAUAUUGGGAGAAUUAUUCAACACAUUACUUUCUCCAUGUACAACCCAAGUGAUAUAAUUUUGAGGAAAUUGCUUGCAGAUUAAAUGGGCGUGAACUAUAUCUCUACUUUGCCACUUUGUAAAAUAGCAUAGACGACAUGGAUAUUUAAUUUUAUCUCCUAUGGCUGCAUUCAUAAAUGUAAAGUCCAGAAAUUGAGUCAAACCACGCUUAUAUUCAAAUAUGUUCCGGGGAUUUUCAAUCCAAGAUUUAUCCAUCUAAAUAUGUUAAGAACUAAUAUACAACAUAAUUAAGAGUGCAAAUGAUAAAGCAAAGUCAGAUUAUCAAAGAGCUAAAGUAUGUUAUUUCAAAACUAAUUAUGAAAUAUACAUAUAGAGAUUGCACUUGAGACAAAGAACUAGAACCUUCUGCAAUAAAUUUAGUAUGAUAGCAUGAUAGCAUGAACUUGAGUUAAUUUCCAUCUGCCAGGGUCUAUUGAUCAUGUCCUGUUGUCUUAUAUUUUUUUAUUUUUGUAAUAUAACUACAACCUAUAUGGGUAAGAAUAGCAUGAUAGCAUGAACUUGGAGUAACGUAAUAGCUGUUGUUCGCAGUCUCAAUCAAAUCCGUUCUGAAGUUGGGCUAGUUCACAUGUUAAAGCAAUCUGCAACAAAGGAAAAAGCUCUCCAGAAUUGACGGCAUAAUCUCGUGGUUCUACUUAAACUGAAUCUAAUUCCCUUUCCAUAACAAAGAAAUACUCAUGACUCUCCAAAUAGAAGGAAAAUAAAACAGGGGGGGGGGGGGGAAUAGAAGCAUGAACAUAAAAAUUUCUAUUUACAUGAUUCCUGUCAUCAACUAAGAGGGUGCCUAAGAAUGUGAACUAGCAAUUAGUGAAACUGCAAUGUAUACCAUGAGUAACCAAGGGUUGGAUACAAGAAGCAACAAAACAAAGGUUUAUAUCGUCCUGAGGGUAACCCGGUACAGUAAGUUGAUAUGUAAAUUGAUGGGAGGAUGCAUGUACCCAAUGAAAAUAUGAGGUGCCACUCUAACCUGGACUCCGCUGUUAAAACUAGGAGACGGAAGGCUAAGGCAUCAAUGUUCUUAUGGAAACGUCAUAGAAGAAAAAAGAUUUGGUGAAGGAUACGGUUUAACCAACCAAAUACUUAUUAAAGAUCAAGUAAUGAAGCCUUAACCCGAUAUAAGAGGUUACAAUUAAUCUAUGAAGCAUAUCUCCAGAUAUGAAUGAGGAGGAGAAAUACGGGGAGCUCAAAGGAUAUGAUUAAAGAUUCAAACAAGCACUAAUGCAUAUUUCAAAAGCUCUAAAAAAAGACUACAUUGUAACUGAAAUGGAAACUGUAACCUCUUAUGACAAGAAUCUGACAGUCACACGGCCAAUUGAAUGCAUAAAUACACACUUGAAAAAAGAAAGAUUCAACCAAAAUGAAAUCUGGAACCUCCUAUAUCCACUCUGCCUAAACUUCACAUUAUCUCCCUAAAACUACUAAGAUUCACACUGGUAUCCUCCUUCAGGAGAAGCUUAAAAAAGAUUAACAAACUCAAUAUUAACAACAACCCCAAAAAAUAAAGAUUCCCCCCCCCCCUUUUAUUGCACCUAAAUCAUCUUCACCACCAAAUAGAAUAUGAACAGCAAAACAAAUCAUCUUUAUAACAUUUGCAACAAUAAUACCCGGUGAAAUCCCACUAGCGGUGUCUGACAAGGGUAGAGUGUACGUAGACAUUACCCCUAACUCACAAUAUCCUUACAACAUUGCAUAUUAGUAAAAUCUUUGCCACAAACUGAAGAUUAACAAUAACCCCAUCAGUUAAAGAUUCCAUUUUUAACCCCCUUUUUUGCAAUUAAAUCAUCUUCACCAUCAAAUACAAACAACAAAACAAACAAGAGAGUAUUCUUUUUACAUAGUUGAUACCUCAAACAAGAGAGUGACGUCACUGUUGACUAUUGCUGUCGCCGGAGAGCUACAGUCGUCACCACUCUUAUGUGGUUGUCGCCGGAUCGUUGACGGGCAUAUUAUUGAAGAAAGGAAUGAGGGCUUUUGAGAUCUUUUGAGGUGGAAAAAUUAAU
Molecule: long non-coding RNA, 4318 nt
Filed under: Capsicum annuum
Lineage: Eukaryota; Viridiplantae; Streptophyta; Magnoliopsida; Solanales; Solanaceae
Description: long non-coding RNA (CANN_LNC000362)
Source: RNAcentral